Molecule: non-coding RNA, 28 nt
Filed under: Mus musculus (house mouse)
Lineage: Eukaryota; Metazoa; Chordata; Mammalia; Rodentia; Muridae
Also listed under: 1 other name
Source: RNAcentral
AAAAGGUGAACCUGCGGAAGGAUCAUUA